UGGGGAAUAUUGCACAAUGGGCGAAAGCCUGAUGCAGCGACGCCGCGUGAGGGAUGACGGCCUUCGGGUUGUAAACCUCUUUCAGCAGGGACGAAGCGCAAGUGACGGUACCUGCAGAAGAAGCACCGGCUAACUACGUGCCAGCAGCCGCGGUAAUACGUAGGGUGCAAGCGUUGUCCGGAAUUACUGGGCGUAAAGAGUUCGUAGGCGGUUUGUCGCGUCGUUUGUGAAAACCAGCAGCUCAACUGCUGGCUUGCAGGCGAUACGGGCAGACUUGAGUACUGCAGGGGAGACUGGAAUUCCUGGUGUAGCGGUGAAAUGCGCAGAUAUCAGGGGGAACACCGGUGGCGAAGGCGGGUCUCUGGGCAGUAACUGACGCUGAGGAACGAAAGCGUGGGUAGCGAACAGG
This 409-nucleotide ribosomal RNA is filed under the name Brucella melitensis. Its description in RNAcentral is "partial 16S ribosomal RNA". It matches the Rfam family "Bacterial small subunit ribosomal RNA", at positions 355 to 776 of the family's 1533-position model. RNAcentral also lists the same sequence under 1 other name. The record is from RNAcentral. Lineage: Bacteria; Pseudomonadati; Pseudomonadota; Alphaproteobacteria; Hyphomicrobiales; Brucellaceae.